CAUUAUCAACUGUAAAAUUAUAUGAUAAAAAU
This 32-nucleotide non-coding RNA is filed under the name Trypanosoma brucei brucei. Lineage: Eukaryota; Euglenozoa; Kinetoplastea; Trypanosomatida; Trypanosomatidae. The record is from RNAcentral.